GUUAUUAAGACACUCCUGACAGAAGUCCUUGUGUAUUCCGCUAUGCAGGCUAUCUGUAGUGUACUUCUCCUUUAUGGAGCAAUUCAGGAAAAGUCCGGCAUGGUUCUUCCGUGGGUCGCUACGGAAAUCCUGGUGACCAUAGUAAUGGCUGUAAUAGGCAUUAUCGUAUACAACGGUGGUUUUUCGGAUAGUGCAAUCGCUGUUGUUCACCUUAAAGUAGGAGUAUUUGUUUGUAUCAUCAUCUAUGUGUUGUUCAACCUGUACUCUCUGGUAGUCGUGUGCAGCUACUACCGGACUCUCCGUGAGAAACCAGAUACUGUCAAGCUGAUAGCGUACAAAAUGAGGUCAUUACAGUCUCCAUGACUUACGUGAACCGCGUAGCUGGUGAAACUGCUCUUGACUCAGGCUUUUUCUUAUGAAUACAUCUGUGCAUACUGAAGGAAUCAAAGUUAUAAGGCAUCGUUAUUGGCUCUGACAGUGCAGGUAGCAUCGAGGUACAAUGUUUACUACGAAUAUUGUCUUCACUUAAGUAGCCACAUACCUCUGGCUCAACUUGCCGUUUCCAUUUUCAGGAACAGAGAAUUUCAUAAAUGUUUCCAGAGAUCAUUGAAGCGCACAAGAAUUCAUUUCGGACUGUUUUCCAUAAAACUUUGUAUAUAUAUAAGCCUCAAGUGUUGCACCUAACGAAGCAUAUUUCACUAUGUGCUCUUCACUGUGCUCUGACAACAUACGAGGUGCAUUCAAGUUCUAAGGCCUCCGAUUUUUUUUCUAAUUAACUACUCACCCGAAAUCGAUGAAACUGGCGUUACUUCUCGACGUAAUCGCCCUGCAGACGUACACAUUUUUCACAACGCUGACGCCAUGAUUCCAUGGCAGCGGCGAAGGCUUCUUUAGGAGUCUGUUUUGACCACUGGAAAAUCGCUGAGGCAAUAGCAGCACGGGUGGUGAAUGUGCGACCACGGAGAGUGUCUUUCAUUGUUGGAAAAAGCCAAAAGUCACUAGGAGCCAGGUCAGGUGAGUAGGGAGCAUGAGGAACCACUUCAAAGUUGUUAUCACGAAGAAACUGUUGCGUAACGUUAGCUCGAUGUGCGGGUGCGUUGUCUUGGUGAAACAGCACACGCACAGCGCUUCCCGGACGUUUUUGUUGCAGUGCAGGAAGGAAUUUGUUCUUCAAAACAUUUUCGUAGGAUGCACCUGUUACCGUAGUGCCCUUUGAAACGCAGUGGGUAAGGAUUACGCCCUCGCUGUCCCAGAACAUGGACACCAUCAUUUUUUCAGCACUGGCGGUUACCCGAAAUUUUUUUGGUGGCGGUGAAUCUGUGUGCUUCCAUUGAGCUGACUGGCGCUUUGUUCCUGGAUUGAAAAAUGGCAUCCACGUCUCAUCCAUUGUCACAACCGACGAAAAGAAAGUCCCAUUCAUGCUGUCGUUGUGCGUCAACAUUGCUUGGCAACAUGCCACACGGGCAGCCAAGUGGUCCUCUGUCAGCAUUCGUGGCACCCACCUGGAUGACACUUUUCGCAUUUUCAGGUCGUCAUGCAGGAUUGUGUGCACAGAACCCACAGAAAUGCCAACUCUGGAGGCGAUCUGUUCAACAGUCAUUCGGCGAUCCCCCAAAACAAUUCUCUCCACUUUCUCGAUCAUGUCGUCAGACCGGCUUGUGCGAGCCCGAGGUUGUUUCGGUUUGUUGUCACACGAUGUUCUGCCUUCAUUAAACUGUCGCACCCACGAAUGCAGUUUCGACACAUCCAUAACUCCAUCACCACAUGUCUCCUUCAACUGUCGAUGAAUUUCAAUUGGUUUCACACCAUGCAAAUUCAGAAAACGAAUGACUGCACACUGUUCAAGUAAGGAAAACGUCGCCAUUUUAAGUAUUUAAAACCUCAUUCUUGCCGCUGGCGGUAAAAUUCCAUCUGCCGUACAGUGCUGCCAUCUCUGGGACGUAUUGACAAUGAAUGCGGCCUCAUUUUAAAACAAUGCGCAUGUUUCUAUCUCUUUCCAGUCCGGAGAAAAAAAAUCGGAGGCCUUCGAACUUGAAUGCACCUCGUAUACCUAUUUACUAUGAUUAUGUACACUUGUGGCAUUGCAUUUGCAUUUUUGUAAGUGAAUUAUGAUCGUCUUCAUCUUAUGUUGCAUAUAAUUUGUAGCACAAAGUGUCAGAUAUUUCGAC
Long non-coding RNA from Schistocerca nitens (vagrant locust), 2168 nucleotides. RefSeq lists it as uncharacterized. The transcript has 3 exons. Lineage: Eukaryota; Metazoa; Arthropoda; Insecta; Orthoptera; Acrididae. The record is from RefSeq and is a predicted model, not a curated record.